RNAcentral lists this ribosomal RNA (444 nucleotides) under uncultured bacterium. Its description in RNAcentral is "partial 16S ribosomal RNA". It matches the Rfam family "Bacterial small subunit ribosomal RNA", at positions 354 to 796 of the family's 1533-position model. The record is from RNAcentral.
GUAGGGAAUAUUGGGCAAUGGUCGGAAGACUGACCCAGCCAUGCCGCGUGCAGGAAGACGGCCCUCUGGGUUGUAAACUGCUUUUAUCUGGGAAGAAAAAGGCCAUGCGUGGCAAAUUGCCGGUACCAGAUGAAUAAGCACCGGCUAACUCCGUGCCAGCAGCCGCGGUAAUACGGAGGGUGCGAGCGUUGUCCGGAUUUAUUGGGUUUAAAGGGUGCGUAGGCGGCUGAUUAAGUCAGCGGUGAAAGACUUCGGCUUAACCGGGGCAGUGCCGUUGAUACUGGUUGGCUUGAGUGUCGGAGGGGUACAUGGAAUUGAUGGUGUAGCGGUGAAAUGCAUAGAUACCAUCAGGAACACCGAUAGCGAAGGCAUUGUACUGGCCGACAACUGACGCUGAUGCACGAAAGUGUGGGGAUCGAACAGGAUUAGAAACCCGUGUAGUCC